RNAcentral lists this ribosomal RNA (466 nucleotides) under uncultured bacterium. Its description in RNAcentral is "bacterial SSU rRNA". It matches the Rfam family "Bacterial small subunit ribosomal RNA", at positions 329 to 792 of the family's 1533-position model. The record is from RNAcentral.
GGCCAGACUCCUACGGGAGGCAGCAGUGAGGAAUAUUGGUCAAUGGGCUUACGCCUGAACCAGCCAAGUCGCGUGAGGGAAGACUGCCCUAUGGGUUGUAAACCUCUUUUGUCAGGGAGCAAUUGGCGCUACGUGUAGCGUUAUCGAGAGUACCUGAAGAAAAAGCAUCGGCUAACUCCGUGCCAGCAGCCGCGGUAAUACGGAGGAUGCGAGCGUUAUCCGGAUUUAUUGGGUUUAAAGGGUGCGUAGGCGGACGCUUAAGUCAGCGGUAAAAUUGCGGGGCUCAACCUCGUCGAGCCGUUGAAACUGAUGUUCUUGAGUGGGCGAGAAGUAUGCGGAAUGCGUGGUGUAGCGGUGAAAUGCAUAGAUAUCACGCAGAACUCCGAUUGCGAAGGCAGCAUACCGGCGCCCAACUGACGCUGAAGCACGAAAGCGUGGGUAUCGAACAGGAUUAGAUACCCUGGUA